Molecule: ribosomal RNA, 112 nt
Filed under: Caerostris darwini
Lineage: Eukaryota; Metazoa; Arthropoda; Arachnida; Araneae; Araneidae
Source: RNAcentral
ACGGCCGUACCAUGCUGAAUAUACCGGUUCUCGUUAGAUCACCGAAGUCAAGCAUCACUGGGCGCGGUCAGUACUUGGGUGGGUGACCACCUGGGAACACCGCGUGCCGUCG